CCGUGGAAACCACCGAUCUAACCCCACCCCUUCCUUUGACAGACUGUGAAACUGAGGCCCAAAGAGGAACAGUCACUAGCCCAAGGAGAAGAAGACUCUGUGCCCCAGGCCCCUCAUAUCUAUGACGGCAUGUGAUCCUCCCAACCAUGGUGAAAGGGACUGCGAGGACUCGGACUUGUCCCCAGAGAGAGGGAGCAACUGAAGACAGUUUCACAGAUGAUGAUAAAAUGGAACAAGUGUACAGCGAGGAAACCGGAGGCCUGAGUUCCGGCCCCAGCUCUGUACUGACAAACAAGCUGUGUGUCCUUGAGCAAACCUCUUGCCCUCUCUGAGCCUCCAUGAGAGCAAGUUAUAGCGAUUACAGUGAGUUCUGCCUUACAGAAGCCAGACAUAAUAUGCAGCAAAAUCAGCGGCUAUGUGCUGAUGCAUGGCCUCGGGGGCCAUCCGAGCUCCAUGUUGUGGAGGCAAUAUGGAGUGGUCCAGGAGGAGCCAGGAAAGCAGGAGAGGAAGAAGCUGGGGCGUUUCCUUCUGACCCUUCCCUGCUCCGACAACUGUCGCAUACCUCCUGAUCUAUCAGGUGCUCCUACUGGU
Long non-coding RNA from Mustela lutreola (European mink), 591 nucleotides. RefSeq lists it as uncharacterized. The record is from RefSeq and is a predicted model, not a curated record. The transcript has 3 exons. NCBI's taxonomy places the organism in Eukaryota, Metazoa, Chordata, Mammalia, Carnivora, Mustelidae.